UCACUUUUGCAAGUGUUCGGUUGCUGAC
This 28-nucleotide non-coding RNA is filed under the name Mus musculus (house mouse). Lineage: Eukaryota; Metazoa; Chordata; Mammalia; Rodentia; Muridae. The record is from RNAcentral.